RNA transcript from Toxorhynchites rutilus septentrionalis, 4979 nucleotides. It is a transcript of the gene named zinc finger protein 37-like, with no coding region annotated. The record is from RefSeq and is a predicted model, not a curated record. The transcript has 12 exons. NCBI's taxonomy places the organism in Eukaryota, Metazoa, Arthropoda, Insecta, Diptera, Culicidae.
ACAUUUAAAAUACUUCUGCUUGCAAGUGAAAACGCUGAUUAAAAAAGUGUUUAUCGCUAUUUUAAUUGGAUAAGUAUUUAAUUUUUAACAUUAGUGAAUCAAAUAAUAACAUAAUGCCAAGGUGUGCUGUGAAUAUUUGUCGUAUAACGUCGGUACAAGCGAAAAAAGACUCUAUUUUCGUGUGUUUCCAUACGUUUCCAAAAGAUACUAAAAGGCGAGCGAAAUGGCUAAAAUUUGCCGGUCUUAGGAAAGAUCCCGGAACAUCCUUGUAUGUCUGCUCUCAGCAUUUUGCGCCAGAAGCGUUUGUGCAUAAUGCUAGCACCCAGCGACAACUCGUAAAUUAUGGACGAAAUAAGUUGAUCAUAGACGCGAUUCCAACUAUCCGCAUUCCGGCGGCUACCGGAGCAAACAGCAGUGAUCGCUCGGUGCGCUACUCGAGAAAAGAACGGAAGAAAAUCAUCGAGGAUAUUUUGAAUAUUCACAGUGUGUGUAACGAGGGAACUUCUUUGGCAAUCAAGCAUGAUUCCAUUGAACCAGGUACAAUUUUCAAUGUCCAAGAAAAAGAUUGCUCCCGAAAAUCUAAGGAGCCUCAAGUGAAAAGAGAGAGCUCCGGAAUGGGCUGUUCGGACGAUUCUGGAUGGGAGCAUUGUCAGCAUCCCGACGAUAUCAAAUCUGAUACUCGGGACUUGGAGCUGGUUGAUAAAUCUGUGAUAAAAACGCUGCGGGAAAAAUUUACGAAUAAAAUUAACCGUCUGGCGCAAGUUUCCGAGAAGCAAAAGACUACAAUCGAACAGCUACGCGUACAGAUCACAGAAACUGGAUUGCAUAGAAACAAAAAACAGGAUGAAUGCAAUCAGGAUAUAGUAGCGCUUAGAAAUGCCUGCGGUAAAAUUCAGGAAGAAGUACAGCCAUGCUCAGAUCAACUCGUGAAAGAUGAAGCAAAGGAGCACUUGAAUAAGGGUUUCACGAACAAUCAAGAUACAUUGAUUCUCGAAGAGAAGAAGAGAAUGGUAUGGUCGACGGAUGAGAAUACUCGGGCGUUAAUAUUAAGAGACCAAUGCAGCUUUUGCACUGGCAUGUGCAAUAAAGAACUCCACCACGCACUGGUCCCCACUAAACAUCAAGAGCAGAAGCUUAAAACUAUCCUGCAGAAGUUGAGUAGUUUAUCUCCUCAAUUGAGCAGUUAUCCUACGUGUGACAAAUGUCGUCAAGAGUUCAUAAUUGUCCACAACAUUCCCGAGAGUUGCUUCAAAAUUUUGUCCAGCGCCGAACCGACUGGCAUCAAGGUGGAGCCAGAGUUAAUGAUUGAUGACCACGAGCUGUCGGAUAGUGAUGACAUUUCUGAGACAGACCCAAUAGUGAACUUUGGGCCAGUUGAACAGGAAACGGAAAUGCACAUCAAAGAAGAAGGAGGAGAGGUUUUCUUCAUCAGUGAAAUUAACGAAGAAGACGAUGAUAUACCGUUGCUACCGGUUGCCAGAACAAACAUACGAAGAAAAAAUCGUAAAGGAAAGAAACCGUUUAAAUGUGAAAUGUGUGAAAAAACAUUUUUCUCAAAAUACAGACUAAAAGAGCACGUUCGAGGUCAUACUGAUGAUCCUCCCUAUCCUUGUCCACAUUGUCCCAAAGGGUUUUGGUUCCCUUCAGGGCUCAAACAGCACAUCCUAACUCAUACGGGUGAACGUCCUUUUUCUUGUUCAUACUGUCCGAGUUCGUUCACGGAUCCUGGAACGCUAAGGUGUCACAUACGAAUUCAUACGGGUGAACGUCCCUAUUCCUGUCCACAUUGUCCCAAAACAUUUAUCCAUUCUCAAUCACUCCAAAAGCACAUUCGAGCUCAUACGGGUUGGUGAAUAUGUUUUACUGUAAGGCAUCGAGCACAAAUUAUGUAACGCGACACUGGCUGGGUGGACCGAGGUUGCGUUACUUGCUGUGUGUUAGGUCCAAAAUCCGAAUUGUUAGCGUCACGUGAGCGUCCCUAUUCUUGUCCACACUGUCCAAAUACGUUUGCGGAUUCUACAACGCUAAGGUGGCAUAUUCCAAUUCAUACUGGUUUGUGAAAAUGUUUUCCUGCAGUUAGCCAGCGUUCAACUUCUAAGCGGAGCAGACGUAUUGUCUCGCUAGAAGCCACACGCUAGCUAUAUUUUUCGGAUUUACGGAUCGAUUUUCGGAUUUUUGUACACUGCGUUUCACAACUAUAGAACCAGUCCAGUUUCCAGAGAUAUAUAAGACAUCGGUUGAAUUGAAGUAUAUAGUGUAAAACAAAAUAACUAUCUUCAUUUAUAAGACUGGCCAUUUGAACAUUAUUGUUGUGUCCAUGCGCGAAACAUUCGAAAGAGUAAAAUUCCAGUGUUUUAUAACUAUAGAACCAGAUGGAAAAACUCUCUCUCCUUUACAAAAUUAACGUCAAUUUCAUAUGAACUAUAAUAAGUUCCUAGUUCGUAGAUCAUCUUUAGUUCUCAAUCAGUUCAAAUAACCCAUUCGGAGUGGUGUCGACCAAGGCGCCUCUAUAUAUAUACCAGGUGAAACAAUCAUAUGAAAUGCGCUUUCAGCCAUAUUGGAAUUGCUGUCGGUAUUGUUUACAAACAGCUGCCGGCGGCUCUCUACAAACUGCCACGACGCGUAUUCGAACUAUGCCUACUAUGUUCGGCUUUUGCGAAUUUAUGUGAAAAAGAGGGGAUUAUUUUGUAGAAUUUCAUUCUCAUCCAGUUCAUCCACUACUCUCACAUGUGAAAAUGCAAAAAUGGCGUAUCCUAGCAAUAACAAAACAAACAACCCCCGCUCCACAAACCGUAAUCCCCUUCUUAUUGAAGUGAUGAUGUUGCUUCUCACCUGUUAUACAUUUAUUCAAGCGCCUUGGUGUCGACCAAGGUGCGAUUUUUGGAAUUAAUCGUUCAUCAGCUAAUCGAAUACUUUUCAACAGUUUGUUAUUCGAUACGAUUAAUCGCCCCAAAUAAUAGAUUGAUCGUCACACUGAGAGAAAUAAUUAGUCAGACUAAUAUUUCUCAUUUGCUAGAAAGCCACCUGGAAUCAAAGAAGUGUUCAUUCCGCCUGAAAAUCAAUUAUUAUCUUUUCUUCUUCUUCUUCUAUGGCACUAACGUUCCUAGAGGAACUCCGCCAUCUCAACUUAGUAUUACUUGCGUCAUUUUCAUUAGUACUUAGUUGAGAUUUCUAUGCCAAAUAACACGCCAUGAAUGCAUUCUGAGUGGCAAGCUCUAGAAUCUAGAAUACGCGUGACCACAGUGCAAGUAAGAGGAAAUUUUUUUGAAGAAAAAUUUCCCCGACCAGAACGGGAAUCGAACCCGAACCCCUGGCAUGUUAGGUUUGACGCUAACCACUCGGCCACGGGAGCACAAUUAUUAUCUUUUACACUCCCCUAAUCUCGUAAACGAAGCUUAAUUCGCGUUGAUUGCAUUGAGCUUCGUUUACGAGUUUAGGGGAGCGUCAAAGAUAAUGAUUGAAUUUCAGGAUAAAACUGCAGCCGUCGUAGGUUUUUUUCCUCUGGGUUUGGAUCGAUUAAUCGACGUAAACUAUUCGUUCGCUUCGACUGUUGGUUGCGCAGUAUUCGUUCGAUUAAUAAUCGAUUUUUUUUUAGGAAGUAUUCGAUUAAUCAAUUAAUCGAACGAUUAUCAGGGAUCACUAGUCGCGAGCAUCGCCGCGAUGAGUGUUGUGCCAAAAAGUGAAAUCUUGAAUUCUGUCUCAAAACAUUUGAUAUUAUUUGGAGAGAGCUAACCCUCGUCAUACACGAAGCGUUGUCGGGGAACUUCCCGACUGAAUUUGUUGAUAGUGUGAUCGACCUCGUGAAGAAGAAAGAGAAUGAUCAAACAGCACACUCGUAUAGACCGAUCUCGUUACUAAAUUUCGACUGCAAAAUCCUCUCACGCAUUCCUAAGAAGCGUCUGGAGAAUGUGAUGAGUACUCACCAUGUGCUAACCGAAAGUCAAAAGUGCUCGAAUUCCGGCCGGAAUAUUUUUCAAUCCACUCUUGCUCUAAAAGAUCGUAUCGCUCAGCUGAUCAAAAAUAAACAACGUGGCUUACUGGCAUCAUUCGAUCUCCGUCACGCUUUCGGUGUCGUUGAUCGGACCUUCCUUUAUCGUACCAUGUGUUCGCUCGGAUUCAAUCCGAAUUUCGUGCGUCUACUCGCCAAAAUUGGAAAGUCGUCUUCCUCUCGACUGUGGUUAAAUGGGCGUCUAUCGGUAACAUUCCCCAUUCGAGAGAUCUGUUCGUCAAGGAGAUCCUCUCUCUAUGCACUUUUUCGUCAUCUAUCUAAACCCAUUGCUUAGACGGCUGGAGGAGAUAUGCGACUCUAACAUUGUCGUUGCGUACGCCGACGAUGUGUCGGUGGUCAAUACGAACAUUACAAGAAUGAAGCAGAUAAGAGAAACAUUCCAACAUCUCGAACGUGUCUCUGGAGCAAGACUGAGUCUGGAGAAAUCGACUUCGACUUCAGUAGGUCAUACUGACGUCAUGCCACUCACCAUGUCGUGGUUGCCGAACGAAAACAGAGUCCGGAUUUUAGGAGUGACUUUCGCUAACUCUAUAUGGCUGAUGAACAAGCUAAACUGGGAUACGCUUCUACGUACAUUCGCUCGACAGGUUUAUCUUCUCUCGCUUCGUACACUCACCUUACAUCAGAAAGCAAUACUACUCAACACAUUUAUCACGGCGGAAAUAUGGUAUCUUGCACACCGACUGCCGUUCAAAGCUGACUGCUACGAUGGGAACGUGUUUAUGGCGAGGAUUCGUAGCACGAGUUCCAAUACAACAGCUGGCGCGUAGCAGUGAAGCAGGUGGCUUGAAACUACAGUUGCUAGCUUUCAAAUGUAAGGCGCUGCUGCUAAAUCGACAUGUGAACGUCGCUAUUCUUGUUCUCAUUGCCCCAAAGCAUUUACGCGACCUCAAUCGCUUCAAAAGCAUACUCGAACUCAUACGGGUGAACGUCCCUACCCCUGUCCACGCUGUCCGGAUACGUUUGCGGA